CUACGAAAAGGAAUUCGUUCGUUCGGUUGCCCCUCUCCGCCCGACACCCUUUGCGGGUGUGGGGUGGACCUCAGGCAGGCUUCGUGUUUCCUGGCAUGCCUCGCCAAGCUGCGUGGGUUGCCUAGGCGCACGGCGUUGCUGCCCGUUCUCUCGGAUGCGGAACGUCUCGCGCGGGUGCGGGGGUCUCGGCCUUCGCUAGCCCGGGCUUUGCAUUUGUCCCUUGACACGAACGACGGUCGCGGCCGUGUUGACCCCGUGGCCUUUGGGGGCCGACGGGGCUCAUGCGGGCGUCGACGUCGGCGAG
RNAcentral lists this unclassified non-coding RNA (304 nucleotides) under Poupartiopsis spondiocarpus. Its description in RNAcentral is "partial miscellaneous RNA". The record is from RNAcentral. Lineage: Eukaryota; Viridiplantae; Streptophyta; Magnoliopsida; Sapindales; Anacardiaceae.